This 475-nucleotide ribosomal RNA is filed under the name uncultured bacterium. Its description in RNAcentral is "partial 16S ribosomal RNA". It matches the Rfam family "Bacterial small subunit ribosomal RNA", at positions 28 to 507 of the family's 1533-position model. The record is from RNAcentral.
GAUGAACGCUCGCGGCAGGCCUAACACAUGCAAGUCGAGGGAUAAGCCUUCGGGCUAAGACCGGCGCACGGGUGCGUAACGCGUAUACAAUCUGCCUUUUAUCCGGGGGAUAGCCCGAAGAAAUUUGGAUUAAUACCCUAUGGUAUAAGAGCACGGCAUCGUGCACUUAUUAAAGCUACGGCGGUAAAAGAUGCGUAUGCGUUCUAUUAGCUAGUUGGAGAGGUAACGGCUCCCCAAGGCGACGAUAGAUAGGGGUUCUGAGAGGGAUGUCCCCCACACUGGUACUGAGAUACGGACCAGACUCCUACGGGAGGCAGCAGUGAGGAAUAUUGGACAAUGGUCGGAAGACUGAUCCAGCCAUGCCGCGUGCAGGAUGACGGCCUUAUGGGUUGUAAACUGCUUUUGUAAGGGAAGAAUAAGGAGUACGUGUACUUUGAUGACGGUACCUUACGAAUAAGCAUCGGCUAACUCCGUG